GACGAACGCUGGCGGCGUGCCUAAUACAUGCAAGUCGAGCGAAGUUUUUCUGGUGCUUGCACCGGAAAAACUUAGCGGCGAACGAGUGAGUAACACGUAAAGAACCUGCCUCAUAGACUGGGACAACUAUUGGAAACGAUAGCUAAUACCGGAUAACAGCAUUAACUGCAUGGUUGAUGUUUAAAAGUUGGUUUUGCUAACACUAUGAGAUGGCUUUGCGGUGCAUUAGCUAGUUGGUGGGGUAAAGGCCUACCAAGGCGACGAUGCAUAGCCGACCUGAGAGGGUGAUCGGCCACACUGGGACUGAGACACGGCCCAGACUCCUACGGGAGGCAGCAGUAGGGAAUCUUCCGCAAUGGGCGAAAGCCUGACGGAGCAACGCCGCGUGAGUGAAGAAGGAUUUCGGUUCGUAAAGCUCUGUUGUUAGGGAAGAAUGAUUGUGUAGUAACUAUACACAG
This 458-nucleotide ribosomal RNA is filed under the name Gemella haemolysans. RNAcentral describes it as "bacterial SSU rRNA". It matches the Rfam family "Bacterial small subunit ribosomal RNA", at positions 28 to 475 of the family's 1533-position model. The record is from RNAcentral. Lineage: Bacteria; Bacillati; Bacillota; Bacilli; Caryophanales; Gemellaceae.